This 808-nucleotide ribosomal RNA is filed under the name uncultured bacterium. RNAcentral's name for it is "bacterial SSU rRNA". It matches the Rfam family "Bacterial small subunit ribosomal RNA", at positions 111 to 921 of the family's 1533-position model. The record is from RNAcentral.
UAAUGCUUAGGAAUCUGCCUAGUAGUGGGGGAUAACUUGGGGAAACUCAAGCUAAUACCGCAUACGACCUACGGGUGAAAGGGGGCGCAAGCUCUCGCUAUUAGAUGAGCCUAAGUCGGAUUAGCUAGUUGGUGGGGUAAAGGCCUACCAAGGCGACGAUCUGCAGCUGGUCUGAGAGGAUGAUCAGCCACACUGGGACUGAGACACGGCCCAGACUCCUACGGGAGGCAGCAGUGGGGAAUAUUGGACAAUGGGCGAAAGCCUGAUCCAGCCAUGCCGCGUGUGUGAAGAAGGCCUUUUGGUUGUAAAGCACUUUAAGUAGGGAGGAAAAGCUAAUGGCUAAUACCCAUUAGCCCUGACGUUACCUACAGAAUAAGCACCGGCUAACUCUGUGCCAGCAGCCGCGGUAAUACAGAGGGUGCAAGCGUUAAUCGGAAUUACUGGGCGUAAAGCGCGCGUAGGUGGUUGCUUAAGUCAGAUGUGAAAGCCCCGGGCUUAACCUGGGAACUGCAUCUGAUACUGGGUGACUAGAGUAGGUGAGAGGGGAGUAGAAUUCCAGGUGUAGCGGUGAAAUGCGUAGAGAUCUGGAGGAAUACCGAUGGCGAAGGCAGCUCCCUGGCAUCAUACUGACACUGAGGUGCGAAAGCGUGGGUAGCAAACAGGAUUAGAUACCCUGGUAGUCCACGCCGUANACGAUGUCUACCAGUCGUUGGGUCUCUUGAAGACUUAGUGACGCAGUUAACGCAAUAAGUAGACCGCCUGGGGAGUACGGCCGCAAGGUUAAAACUCAAAUGAAUUGACGGGGGGC